UUGGGAAUCUUGGACAAUGGGGGAAACCCUGAUCCAGCCAUGCCGCGUGAGUGAUGAAGGCCUUCGGGUUGUAAAACUCUUUCGACGGGGACGAUAAUGACGGUACCCGUAGAAGAAGCUCCGGCUAACUUCGUGCCAGCAGCCGCGGUAAUACGAAGGGGGCUAGCGUUGUUCGGAAUUACUGGGCGUAAAGCGCGCGCAGGCGGUCUUCCAAGUCAGUGGUGAAAGCCCGGAGCUCAACUCCGGAACUGCCAUUGAAACUGUUAGACUUGAGGACGAGAGAGGUGAGUGGAAUUCCCAGUGUAGAGGUGAAAUUCGUAGAUAUUGGGAAGAACACCGGUGGCGAAGGCGGCUCACUGGCUCGUAUCUGACGCUCAGGCGCGACAGCGUGGGGAUCAAACA
Molecule: ribosomal RNA, 402 nt
Filed under: uncultured prokaryote
Description: bacterial SSU rRNA
Rfam family: Bacterial small subunit ribosomal RNA
Source: RNAcentral